This 471-nucleotide ribosomal RNA is filed under the name uncultured Staphylococcus sp. Its description in RNAcentral is "bacterial SSU rRNA". It matches the Rfam family "Bacterial small subunit ribosomal RNA", at positions 25 to 478 of the family's 1533-position model. Lineage: Bacteria; Bacillati; Bacillota; Bacilli; Caryophanales; Staphylococcaceae. The record is from RNAcentral.
CAGGAUGAACGCUGGCGGCGUGCCUAAUACAUGCAAGUCGAGCGAACAGAUGAGAAGCUUGCUUCUCUGAUGUUAGCGGCGGACGGGUGAGUAACACGUGGGUAACCUACCUAUAAGACUGGGAUAACUCCGGGAAACCGGGGCUAAUACCUGAUAAUAUUUUGAACCGCAUGGUUCAAUAGUGAAAGACGGCUUCGGCUGUCACUUAUAGAUGGACCCGCGCCGUAUUAGCUAGUUGGUAAGGUAAUGGCUUACCAAGGCAACGAUACGUAGCCGACCUGAGAGGGUGAUCGGCCACACUGGAACUGAGACACGGUCCAGACUCCUACGGGAGGCAGCAGUAGGGAAUCUUCCGCAAUGGGCGAAAGCCUGACGGAGCAACGCCGCGUGAGUGAUGAAGGUCUUAGGAUCGUAAAACUCUGUUGUUAGGGAAGAACAAAUUUGUUAGUAACUGAACAAGUCUGACGGUAC